This 104-nucleotide small nuclear RNA is filed under the name Notamacropus eugenii (tammar wallaby). Lineage: Eukaryota; Metazoa; Chordata; Mammalia; Diprotodontia; Macropodidae. The record is from RNAcentral.
GUGCUUGCUUUGGAAGCACAUAUAGUAAAACUGGAAUGAUACCAAGAUUAGCAUGACUCCUGGACGUGGAUGAUAUACAAAUUUGUGAAGUUUCCCAUAUUUUU